Molecule: ribosomal RNA, 88 nt
Filed under: Paracarphalea kirondron
Lineage: Eukaryota; Viridiplantae; Streptophyta; Magnoliopsida; Gentianales; Rubiaceae
Also listed under: 1 other name
Description: partial 18S ribosomal RNA
Source: RNAcentral
GUUCGGAUUGCGGCGACGUGAGCGGUUCGCCGCCCGCGACGUCGCAAGAAGUCCACUGAACCUUAUCAUUUAGAGGAAGGAGAAGUCG